RNAcentral lists this ribosomal RNA (253 nucleotides) under uncultured bacterium. Its description in RNAcentral is "partial 16S ribosomal RNA". It matches the Rfam family "Bacterial small subunit ribosomal RNA", at positions 524 to 776 of the family's 1533-position model. The record is from RNAcentral.
UACGUAGGUGGCAAGCGUUAUCCGGAUUUACUGGGUGUAAAGGGCGUGUAGGCGGGGAAGCAAGUCAGAUGUGAAAGCCACGGGCUCAACCUGUGGCCUGCAUUUGAAACUGUUUUUCUUGAGUGCUGGGGAGGCAAUCGGAAUUCCGUGUGUAGCGGUGAAAUGCGUAGAUAUACGGAGGAACACCAGUGGCGAAGGCGGAUUGCUGGACAGUAACUGACGCUGAGGCGCGAAAGCGUGGGGAGCAAACAGG